GCUCAUCCGAAUAUUAACGCAAUCGCUGCGGCUACUGCAGCUAGCAAACAUAGGAGAAGAUCGGCAGCUGACAUGAAUAAGUAGCAGACGUAUUCGAUAACAGAUGUGAAGCCUAGUUUUACUCCUGUAGCUCAAACACGAAGCGUGGACGUUGGUCGGAGCCUAUGGCGGGCCCCAGUGUGCAGUGCAACUAAGUUAUGCGAAGCAAAGCGAUAUCAGUCAAAUAUUGCCUGUCAUGUUACUGCUCCAACUCCAAAGUUGGUAUUACUGUCUACUUGGUUCCGAUAAAGUGAACAUAAUGGAACAGACAUUUACUGGUUACCGUGCAUGGUUACCGAGAGUAGACUAAAAAGCUAAAAAUGUGUAAAAACAUUACAAUGAGGAGGUUUGUUACACUAAGUGCGCAUACUGAAAAGUUGGUAAAUACUGCAUAACACGGUGCAUGAUGGCCAAAACUCCUCAAAACUCAGUGAGAUGAGGCGUAUUUUUACUCUAAUGUACCUUUUUGUAAUAAGAUUGAUUAAUUUUUACUGCUACUAUAGUUUGUUAUCUUUCCUCGAGUAAAAUUUUAAUUUUAUUUCCGAAGACACAUUCUUACUGAUUUUUUUUUCUCAGUACCUGUAGACUUUAGUUCGUGUAAUGAAGUCGAAAGUCAUUGUCUCAACUUUUUAAAAACUCCUUCCGGUUGUGCAUGUCUGUUCAUUUCUUUUUGCAACUGUGUUUGCGAUUCUGUAUCUUCAUAUGCGGAACAAUACGUCGUACAAAUUUAUUUAAAUUGAUGCGUUUUCUGAAAAGUGGGCUGAUAUCACACGUGUUGGUUUGAUGAUACUUCGCGUGUUCUUAAAUUGAUUUGUUUGAUUGAAUGAUCAAAUGGGCUGGUUUGAAAUUUUUGGUAACUCGUAUGGUUGCUUCAACUAAGCAUGAGUAGAGUCAACAGGGGCAAGGAAAAGGCAUCAUCUUAGUCAGAUCGCACUCUGCUAGUCCGAAUUAGAUGUUGAUUAAAGCGAAAUACGUGAUAGGAGUGCGACACAUUUUGUAGACCGUACGUACGAACCAAAAGUAAAAAUUACCUUGCCGUUAAUGUUAAGACGUAGUCCGAUGCAUAAAUAAAUUAACUGAAAACCAUUCAUCUUAAAAUGCACACGUAGAUAAGUGAAGCUUAACCGAUAUGAUGGUUGGAUGGAUGGUAUCGACAGUAAUUCCGCUACCGAAGUCAGAACCUACUACUAUUGAAAUAGUCUGAUUGGUCGUCGUGGUGGUGUUGGUAACUCCAGUCACGAUACAAACUAACUUAAAGAUUGCAACCGAUAGAGAAGUAGGAAACGGCAGAGAUAAGUGAAUGGGGACGAGCAUAAUCGUGGAUAAUAAUAAUAUGUUGAUAUUGCAUGUACCGAAUGCUACGGGUGAAAGAAGUAGUAACAUAGGCAACACAAACAAAUUGAAAAUUCGUCGGAAACACGUGAAGGUAAUAACAAUUUAAUAUAUUUAAAUAGAAAAUACAAUACUGCGCUGUUAGGCUGACUAGUGAAAGGGCAUUGCAUACCGGGAACACCGAAGAAACCCGAGCAAAAAAGAAGAAGAAGAAGAAGAAGAAGUUAGAUAGACCAUGGAGUAAGGAAUGUUACGAGAGAAAAUUGUAAAAUUUUAGUUUCGAAACGAUGCAAUACAUUUUGCAGUGUGAAAGACAGAACAGCCAGCAACAUGUAGCAGAAAGCUUUGCCGUACUGUAUAGAGGGAAUGUUGACGUUGUGACAAAUGUAAAGCAGCAGAAUGAAUCCAGGCCUUCCAUAACCGCAGAACCAAUGGGUUUCUGAUCUUUCUGAUAAUUUGCAAAAUUCAAUUGCUUCACAAACGAAGUGACGAGACCGAUAGGCAGCGGCGGUGUAUUGUGUUCAACAUAUCUCAAUAGUAAGCGAGGACACCACACAUGGAUCGACGUUUUUUUGUUGUUUAAGUUGAUUUGGUUACGCAUGCUCAAGCGAGUAUGAUUUGUGUAAUGCACAGCCAGAAUUCAGUUACAAAUAGUAUGACUGAAACUCAAAGCAGCUGGUUUAUUUUUGGUGUAAAUAAAAAUUUGUAUUAUUUAACGAAA
Molecule: long non-coding RNA, 2092 nt
Organism: Anopheles arabiensis
Lineage: Eukaryota; Metazoa; Arthropoda; Insecta; Diptera; Culicidae
Exons: 2
Source: RefSeq, a predicted model, not a curated record